Dreissena polymorpha is the source of this 3364-nucleotide long non-coding RNA. RefSeq lists it as uncharacterized. The record is from RefSeq and is a predicted model, not a curated record. The transcript is spliced from 6 exons. NCBI's taxonomy places the organism in Eukaryota, Metazoa, Mollusca, Bivalvia, Myida, Dreissenidae.
UUGCUGUGGACAUCACGAAGAAUCUCACGAGGAAUUAAACGUUGAAUAAUUUGUUUAAUUCUUUAUAAGACAGCUAUAUAUUCAGCAAGGAACGAGAGAAAAAAAGGAACAAUUGAAAUGAUUCAUUCAGAAGUAUAUCUGAUGUAGAUAGUUAGGACAGUAGUAGCGUUACAGACUGUCCUCAGCGCACAAUAUAUUCAUGUGGUGCACCACAGACGCAAAUUCACCCCAUUAUUGAAAACAAGUUGCUAAAAGUAAACACGUCCGGUUUUGCACUCUGAGCCCAAAGGGCAUUGCAUUGAAUUGAGACUAAAGAAGGCUAAAAAACAUGACACCAGUUUUGUUGUAUGCUCCAGUACACCCUUCGACUCUCAGCCCGAAGUUAAUCAGAACUCAAACUCGGCCCUUAACAAUAUCCGCGAGGCCAGCAUAUCAGCUCAGCUUCUGAGCUUCAGCAACUGCUAAGCACAGAAGACAAAGGAGUAGUGAAAGGCUCAGCCAAAUCAAAGUCCAGCAAUGUGAGGGUGACACAGCCUUUCCAUGUCCUGGUAUUGCAACAUGAAGGACAUUUUAGCUGAAACUAACAAGGGAGAGAACUGUAGAUCUGCACCAGCACAGAGCACCAGCAUUGAUAUCAAGUUGGCCCAGCAACCGCACGAGCCCUACCUGCAGGAGCCCCAGUCCAGAACGACCCUUCCCCUCCCCUGACUUCUAACUCAUCCCCCUUGACCUCCUGACUCAAAAAGUCAGCAUGAUUGAAUAACUCUGUUCUGCAGGAAAUUCUGAGCAUGAUUCUAUUCUGAACAAACGCAAUGCCCAUGUCACGUUUUCCAAACAUAAGCCUGGGUAGUUUUGUUAAGCUAGAGUUCCCUGUGGGCCUGAGAGGGACAAGUGUUACAGACACGAAAAGUAAUAGCAGUAGUUAUGGUAACGCCAACAGUCAGUUGUUGCUGUUUGACAUCACAACAAAUAUCAUGAAAAAUAAAACGUUCAAUAACUUGUUCCAAUCUUUAUGGGACAAACAGAAAUUGAACGGGAGAAAAUCAAGGAACAAUAAAAGCGUAAGCUUUCCUAGUGGGAUACUUCUGCUGUUAAUAGUUUGGACGACUGUAGGGUUACGGACUGCCCCAGAUUGUCCUCUCAGCGGCCAAAAUAUCAUAAUAGAACGGACUUUUGGCAAUGUUACUGACAAACAAAGGGAGUAAUGACUUGGUUGUGAAUACCCAGAGCACUAGACAUCCAUGCUGACAAAGAAAGGCAGUAAUGACUUGGUUGUGAACACCUCCAGCACGAUACAUCCAUGCUGACAAAGAAAGGCAGUAAUGACUUGGUUGUGAACACCCAGAGCACAAUACAUCCAUGCUGAUACAGAAAGGCAGUAAUGACUUGGUUGUGAACACCCAGAGCACAAUACAUCCGUGCUGAUACAGAAAGGCAGUAAUGACUAAGCUGUGAACAUCCAGAGCACGAUACAUCCAUGCUAACACAGAAAGGCAGUAAUGACUAUGCUGUGAACACCCAGAACAUAAUACAUCCAGGCUGACACAGAAAGGCAGUAAUGACUUGGUUGUGAACACCCAGAGCACAAUACAUCCAUGCUGAUACAGAAAGGCAGUAAUGACUAAGCUGUGAACACCUAGAGCAGGAUACAUCCAUGCUAACACAGAAAGGCAGUAAUGACUAUGCUGUGAACACCCAGAACAUAUUACAUCCAGACUGACACAGAAAGGCAGUAAUGACUUGGUUGUGAACACCCAGAGGAAGAUAUAUCCAUGCUGACACAGAAAGGAAGUAAAGACUAUGCUGUGAACAUCCAGAGCAAGAUAUAUCCAUGCUGAAACAGAAAGGCAGUAAUGACUAUGCUGUGAACACCCAGAGCAUAAUACAUACAUGCUGACACACAAAGGCAGUAAUGACUUGGUUGUGAAUACCCAGAGCACAAUACAUCCAUGCUGACACAGAAAGGCAGUAAUGACUUGGCUGUGAACACAGAACACGUUACACCCAUGCUGACACAGACAGGCGGUAAUGACUUGGCUGUGAACACAGAACACGAUACACCCAUGCUGACACAGAAAGGCAGUAAUGACUUUGCUGUGAACUCAGAGCACAAUACAUCCAUGCUUACACAUAGAGGCAGUAAUGACUUGGCUGUGAACACAGAGCUUAAUACAUCCAUGCUGACACAGAAAGGCAGUAAAGACUUGGUUGUAAACACCCAGAGCACAAUACAUCCAUGAUGACACAGAAAGGCAGUAAAGACUUGGUUGUUUAAACACCCACAGCACAUUACAUCCAUGAUGACACAGAAAGGCAGUAAAGACUUUGUUGUAUACACUGAGAGAUCCAUACAUCCAUGGGGUGUGCCACAGACUCAAAUUACGCCCACUAUUGUGAACAAGGUGCUUAAAGUGAACAUGUCUGGUUUCUGUUUUCUGUUUUGUUAUGAGCACUUAGCACUCCGAGCCAAAAAGGCCUCACAUUGAAUUGAGAAGGCUUUGAAAAUGACAGCAGUUUUCUUGUGUGGUCCAGUACGCCCUUCGACUCGCAACCUGAAGAAAGCAGAACUCAAACUCGCCUCUUAGCAAUAUCAACAAGGCCAGCAUGUCAUCUCAGCUCCUUGAGCUUCAGUGAACUUUACUAGCAAACAUGACAAACGUCAUUGAAGUGAAAGUCGAUAACAGCCCCCUUCUUGCACACAUACUACAACUCGCUUAAGAAAUUCAGCAUGAAGACGUCUUGCGUCAGAAUACCAAGCCUCCUAUCAAUAUCUCCUCUCAUGUUGGCUACAUCAACACUUCCAACAGCAGAGCCUUGGUGAAUUGACUUCCGUCUCAGCAUCGAUGUCGCUUAGCAACAAUUGGAUGAUGGGCGUCGACAAAUUAGGCCGGACAAGUCGCUCGAACUGAAACGAUCUGAUCCAACAGGUAGAGCAGGCAUUGCGUGACACGUCUGUUAAUGUGACUGACCUCGAUAUGUUGUUCUCAAAUAAUGUGAACCUUAGGCCUGGAGAGCAGUAUGCGAUUGACGCCAUUCAACAACAGUUGUUGUCGGCAAUUCUCGGGUUUGGGGUGGCGACUUCGGCGUCGGGACUCACUACAUCUCUGUCUAUGGCCCAGUCGCAGCAGCAGCAGCAGCAACAAGAACAAUAAAGGAGGUUCCUACAGGAUCCCAUGCUGUCAUAGAUCGGUACCCAGCUGAACAACAGGCUGUCUGGUAAGCUGGGUCCGGAUAGGUGCAGCCAGUCUAAAGCUGGGGCUCCAAACUGUCCUGCCAAGUGGGCUGAUAUUACCUCUUCUACAAGGGACAUAUGUCAGUGAUGCGCAAAGAGCUGGUUUCUAUUCACAGAGAAAAAUCCUAACAA